Tupaia belangeri (northern tree shrew) is the source of this 164-nucleotide small nuclear RNA. Its record names the gene U1. It matches the Rfam family "U1 spliceosomal RNA". From Rfam's summary of the family: U1 is a small nuclear RNA (snRNA) component of the spliceosome (involved in pre-mRNA splicing). Its 5' end forms complementary base pairs with the 5' splice junction, thus defining the 5' donor site of an intron. There are significant differences in sequence and secondary structure between metazoan and yeast U1 snRNAs, the latter being much longer (568 nucleotides as compared to 164 nucleotides in human). The record is from Ensembl. Lineage: Eukaryota; Metazoa; Chordata; Mammalia; Scandentia; Tupaiidae.
AUACUUACCUGGCAGGGGAGAUCCCAUCAUGACAAGGGUGGUUUUCCCAGGGCAAGGCUUAUCCAUGACACUCCAGAUGUGCUGACCCCUGCCAUUCCCCCAAACGUGGGAAACUUGACUGCGUAGUUUGUGGUAGUGGUGGACUGCAUUCGUGUUCUCGCCUG